This 538-nucleotide long non-coding RNA is filed under the name Cercocebus atys (sooty mangabey). RNAcentral's name for it is "lncRNA (ENSCATG00000045728.1)". The record is from RNAcentral. Lineage: Eukaryota; Metazoa; Chordata; Mammalia; Primates; Cercopithecidae.
CUCAGAGUUCCACGUGACUGGGGAGACUUCACAAUCUUGGUGGAAAGUGAAAGGCACAUCUCACGUGGCAGCAGACAAGACAAGAGAAGGUGGGCAGGGAAACUCCCCUUAAUAAACCAUCAGAUCUCAUGAGACUUAUUCACUAUCAUGAGAAUAGCAUAGGAAAGAUCCACCCCCAUGAUUCAAUUGCCUCCCACCAGUCCCUGCCACAACACGUGGGAAUUGUGGGAUCUACAAUUCAAGAUUAGAUUUGGGUGGGGACACAGCCAAAGUAUAUCAAAUGCCUUUCAGUUCCUGUGUCGUGUCAUGGUCCAUGUACAGUUUGAUAUGUUCUGUCUGUUUCUGUGAUACACCCUCACGCCCUCCACCUGUGCUUAACAGGCUCCCGCUCAUCCUGGGCUUCAGUUCAGGAGGACUUCUUCCAGAUCAGCAAUUCUACCCAGGCCAUUUUCUUCCAUCUUCCCGUGCUCUUCUCUGUGACAGCACAAGUCAUACAGAUCUUCUGUGAGAAAUGAAAUGACGCCCCACUGAUGGGAGC